Molecule: long non-coding RNA, 1007 nt
Organism: Asparagus officinalis (garden asparagus)
Lineage: Eukaryota; Viridiplantae; Streptophyta; Magnoliopsida; Asparagales; Asparagaceae
Exons: 3
Source: RefSeq, a predicted model, not a curated record
GCUCUCGAGAUCCGUCGCCUCGCGAGACUGCUCUGCAACAGCGCCGGGUCUCCGCCGUUCCACAAUCACAGCAGCAAGCGUUCUUUCAUCAAGAGUUCGGAAUGGAGUCAGAAAAUUCAACUACUGUAGAGUUCGGAAUGGGAGAAUCAAGUGUCAUCGGAAGUGGAAUUGCGGCCAAUACUGUAAAUCAUCCUAAACCACUACUUGUAAUGAAGUUUAAUAGUUAUGAAGAAGCUUAUAACUAUUAUAACUCUUAUGCAUUGUUGAUGGGUUUUGGAAUAAGGAAGAGAACGGUAAAUUACUCUCGCAAAACUAGAGAAGUGGUAGACAGAAAAGAAAGAAAGGAAGAAACGUAUAUGUAGCAGAUGUGGUGAACUCGGGCAUUAUAGAACUAGCUGUAAAGUCCACGCAAUGCUACUAGAAUCCAGUCAGGUUUAGAACAAGCACAAGAAAAGAAAGAAAGGAAGAAACGUAUAUGUAGCAGAUGUGGUGAACUCGGGCAUUAUAGAACUAACUAUAAAGUCAACUUGCUAAGCUAAAUUCUCGGUGAUGAUUCAAAUUUUCUCGGUAAUGAAGGGCUUAAUAUUUUUGAGGUAAUGAUUUGCAGCAUAUGUUUACACAUAUUUGAAGGGCUGAAUAUAGUUUAAUGCGCUCAAUUCUCGGUAAUGAUUAAAAUUUCUUCUCUUUUAUGCGACUAUCUUGUAAAAUCCGAGUGAAUAGCAUCAAUGGUGGGUGGUUGGAACACAGGUUGAGCAUUCUCUUUUAUGCAGCUAUCUUGUAAUGUGAUUUGGGCUUAUAUUCAGCUACUUUGGUUGUAACUUUGGAGGUUAAGUCUUUCUUUGAUGAAACUCUGUUUGAUGUUGUAACUCAUGAUGUAACUCUGUUUGAUGCUUGUAGCUUUGCUGUAGCUUAUAUUCAGCUAGCUAUAGCUCAAUUCUCUUUUAUGCAGCUAUCUUGUAAUGUGAUUUGAGCUUAUAUGCAGCUAUCUUGUGAUGAUUAUUCAGCUA